GAACCUUACCUGGGCUCGAAAUGUAGUGGACUGGGGUAGAAAUAUCCCUUCCUAGCAAUAGGCUGCUAUAUAGGUGCUGCAUGGCUGUCGUCAGCUCGUGUCGUGAGAUGUUGGGUUAAGUCCCGCAACGAGCGCAACCCUUAUUACCAGUUGCCAUCAUUUAGUUGGGCACUCUGGUGAGACCGCCUCGGAUAACGGGGAGGAAGGCGGGGAUGACGUCAAGUCCUCAUGGCCUUUAUGUCCAGGGCUACACACGUGCUACAAUGGCCGGUACAAACCGUCGCAAACCCGUGAGGGGGAGCUAAUCGGAAAAAGCCGGCCUCAGUUCGGAUUGCAGGCUGCAACUCGACUCCAUGAAGCUGGAAUCGCUAGUAAUCGCAGAUCAGAAUGCUGCGGUGAAUACGUUCCCGGGCCUUGUCACACCGA
Molecule: ribosomal RNA, 426 nt
Filed under: uncultured soil bacterium
Lineage: Bacteria
Description: bacterial SSU rRNA
Rfam family: Bacterial small subunit ribosomal RNA
Source: RNAcentral